GGCGAUAAUUUGGGACAGUUUGACAAAGGCCUCAUGCCUCCACAACUGGAAUGAUGAUACCAUUGGCAGAAGCGUGAAUUCUUUUUGGAAAUUUUGGUUGGAGCAAAAGGAGGAUCUGUUUGGGUUUAGACAGAGAGAACUGGAGAUGGUGAUGGGAUAAAAAGGUGGCCACAUCCAGCAGGCCAGUACCAACCAGGCAGUAAUCCAGGGUCCCUUGACCAGUCUGAUCCCUACCCUGAGCUGAGGGCUGCAACGCCUUCAAGCUUAGCAGAAAAUACUGGUCAAAGGAACAUGGAGAGAUCAGGCUGAGUAAAGCCUUUGAUGACUUCGAGGUGUCUGGUUCACCUUAUUCAAUAGAGAGUUAAACGUGCCCCCAUCUCCUCUGAGUUUUCAUAACAGGCCUGUGUGCAUCCUAUCACCAUUUGGGAGUGUGCCAUGGCCAAAAAUCCUCAUUAGCUGGAGUUUGGGGUUGUACCCAGAGCUGGUCGACCCCCGCCCCACUAGGGGGUGAAAUUUGGCCUCUUUUUCCUGUAUCUCAGAAUUUGGGGCAGGGAAGAUGUUGGGGUGCUCAUGCAUGCUCUGAGGGACUGUGACAUUGACUUCUUUGGCUCAAGCUAAGAAAGACCUUGUACUGGGUGGGACCCAUGUCUUGGCAAUCCCCUUCAAAAUGGUUUAUGAAAGCAGAAAGGUGGGGCAGCCCCCCUCACAUUUUCUGCCUUCCUCAAGGCUGGUUUUGUAACAUCUGUUCCUAUUUGAGGCUGUCUUCAGUGUUCAUUUCCACUUUAUUUUCCCUGGAUGAGCAUAUUGGAAGCAGGGGGUGGGGCAAAGGGAGCUCACAAUUACUGGUCCUGCUCCAACCCCAGGGUCCACUUCUCAGGGAGAAAGUCAACCAAUAGGGACAUGGAGAUCAGUGCAGGGCCUUUGACAUCUCCGAGAACGCUGCUGAGCAAAGCCCUUUAAUUAAGAUGUAGCCAACACAGCAGUCCUGGCAAACAUCAGUUCUGCGGCUAGCUAGGUGGGAGGGGUGCUGGCCUGGAAGAUGAUGCCAUCGUUUUCUGCGGGGCCUGGCCUGCCAUUAGGUGACUCAGUGAGUUUCCCAGCACCUUGGCCAGGAGGCAGGGACAGGAGCUGCAGCUUUUAUUAUUUUUUCCCUGUUGGGGUGGGGCUGCUCCGUCUUGGCCCUGGGUCCACAGGAAAGCCUUCAGUAAUCAUCUCCAUGCCUGUGAGCCCUGCAGAGCCCAAGAGCCUCCAUGGUGUCCCAGGCCAAAGGCUUGGGUCUGAAUCCCAGCUCCUCUUUACCUCUCUGGACCUCAUUUUUCCAAUAGGUAAAAUGGAUGUAAUAAUUCCAGCCUCACAGGCUUGUGGUGAGGGUGAAUGAGAUAAUAUAUGUAAAACGCUUGACACUGUGCUCUAGCACAAUACAUGGCAAUUAUUAUUAUUAUUAUUCUCCAUCCUUGAACUGUAGGAUAGUGGUGGUUAAUGGGAUGAGACAAUCCAGACUGGGUGGGUUUGAAUCUUGAGUCUUUCUCUUUCUAGAUGAGUGACUUUGGGCAACUUCACCUUGCAGAGUCUCAGUUUCCUUAUUUGUAAAAUGAGGAUAAUAACAGUCCCUACUCACAGGGUCCUUCUGAAGAUUAAAUAAUGCAGACCUUUAGCACAACUGCCAAUACAUACAGAUUGCUCAAAAAAGUGAACUACUACUUUGAUUAUUAUCAUUUUUCAUCCCAAUAUCCUUCAGAGUCUAGCUCAAGGUGUCAUCCUUCCCACAAACCCCAUUAACCACUUCUCUGAUCUUCAUUGAUUUGGGCACCUCUUACAAUCCAUCUUGCAUUGCUCCCAUUUAUGUCCAUCUUCAAAAGUGUAACUGGGCCUCCAGCCUCACCCUGCUGUUAACUUGAGGGCUGUCUUACACAUCAUUUUUGGGUCCCCCAACCCCCAAAUCCAAUCCCCUUUUAAACAGUUCUCUUCCUCCAAAUUUCCACUCCCUAAGCAGUUGCCCAUCCCCGUUUCUCCCCUUCUGAGCUAGUCCCCUCAGCAGAGGACUUCCCUCCAGCUCCUCUCUUCCCUUUCCAAGUCCCCUAGAGGGAAUAUAUGUAUAUACUGGAUUCUGUGGUGGUCCCAGAGGGAUGAACACACACUUAUAUACACACACGCGUGCACACACAUGCACGCAUAUGCAUGCAGCACACAUUUAUAUAAGUAAAUAUGUGCCCAGAUAUAUAAAGUAUGAAAACGGACAUAUACAAAAAUCCUUCUUGGGCCCCCAACGAAUUCAUUCAUUCAUUCAUUCAUUCAUUCAUUCUACAAAUAUUUGAACGCUCACUCUGUCGGGACCAAGCUAUCAGUUGGGAUAAACAAGGUAUAAGAGGUUUCACUUUCCAUGGAACCUUAAAUUCUAUUUGAGGAAGACAAGGACAAACACACAAUUUUGCUUGUGGAAGUGCUGGAAAGACAACAGAAGGCUUUGUGAGAGCGAUUAAGGGGACAGAAUACCAUUCUACUCUACUGGGUGAUCGAGGAUGGCCUUGGAGGUGAACUAUGUGCCGAGCUGCAUUUUAUAAACGGGAACAAUGGAACAUGGACACUUGAAGGCCUUAAGGCUGAACAACAGGAAGGCAGCCUCUCAAUUUCUCCUCUACAGCGGCGCCACUUUCCCGAACCGCAGGGUGUCUUGGAGAACCUGAAAGCCCAAAAGCGAUACGACGCGGGGUCCAAUGCGGGGGUCGGAUACGGCAGCCGAAGCGCUUGCGCGAAAGGACACCGCCUGUCUGACGUCAGCGCGCCAGUCCGGACCCGCCCCCCGUGACGCCAUCCCGACCGCCGCCCCGCCCUUCACGCCCGCGCGCUUGCGCGCAUGCUCCGAACACCGCCCCCGAGCGUCACAGAAUGGCCUCGGACACCCAGGCAGCCCCUGACGUGUCGGGGAGGAGCCGGGCGCGGAGGUUCGCGGAGUGGAGCUCAGGGCUGUGGAGGGGAGCGGAGCUGAGCGGCUGGGCGGGCCUGGCCAGGCCAGCGGAGCAGAGACUUCGGUCGAGCGGCGGCGAACAUGCGUUUUUGACACAUUGAGGUGAGGAAAUGGGGCACUGAGAGGUUGAAAAACUUGCCCAAGAUUGUCAAACUAGUUUUCUUGAUCAUGGAUGGUGAAGAUAUACCAGACUUUUCAAGUUUAAAAGAGGAAACUGCUUAUUGGAAGGAACUUUCCUUGAAGUAUAAACAAAGCUUCCAGGAAGCUCGGGAUGAGCUAGUUGAAUUCCAGGAAGGAAGCAGAGAAUUAGAAGCAGAGUUGGAGGCACAGUUAGUACAGGCUGAACAAAGAAAUAGAGACUUGCAAGCUGAUAACCAAAGACUGAAAUACGAAGUGGAAGCAUUAAAGGAGAAACUAGAACAUCAGUAUGCACAGAGCUACAAGCAGGUCUCAGUAUUAGAAGAUGAUUUAAGUCAGACUCGGGCCAUUAAGGAACAACUCCAUAAGUAUGUGAGAGAGCUGGAGCAGGCCAAUGACGAUCUGGAGCGAGCAAAACGGGCAACGAUAGUUUCACUUGAAGACUUUGAACAAAGGCUCAAUCAGGCCAUUGAACGAAAUGCAUUUUUAGAAAGUGAACUUGAUGAAAAAGAAUCUUUGUUGGUAUCUGUACAGAGGUUAAAGGAUGAAGCAAGAGAUUUAAGACAAGAAUUAGCAGUUCGGGAAAGGCAGCAGGAAGUAACCAGAAAGUCAGCUCCCAGUUCCCCAACUCUAGACUGUGAAAAAAUGGAUUCUGCUGUCCAAGCCUCACUCUCUUUGCCAGCUACUCCUGUUGGCAAAGGAACGGAAAACAGUUUUCCUUCACCAAAAGCUAUACCAAAUGGUUUUGGUACCAGUCCACUAACUCCUUCCGCGAGGAUAUCAGCACUAAACAUCGUGGGGGAUCUCUUACGGAAAGUAGGGGCUUUAGAAUCCAAAUUAGCAGCCUGUAGGAAUUUUGCAAAGGACCAAGCAUCACGAAAAUCCUAUAUUUCAGGGAAUGUUAACUGUGGGGUGAUGAAUAGCAACGGCACAAAAUUCUCUCGUUCAGGGCAUACGUCUUUCUUCGACAAAGGGGCAGUAAACGGCUUUGACCCAGCUCCUCCUCCUCCUGGCUUGGGCUCCUCUCGCCCGUCGUCAGCACCGGAGUGGUAUUCUGAAGGCAUGUGAUCUGAACUACGGAAACCUGCUGAAUCACCCUGUCAGGUGCUCUGAGAGAAAGCAAAUAGCCAAAGAACAAGGAAAAGAGCAGCAUCAGAGGACCUGUCUGCUGACCGGCCACCUGCCUGCUGUCUCUCUGUUAAAGUAAGGUUGAGACAUUAUCCAACUCAUUCUGCAAGGAAGAGUAAAAGAUGAAUCUAAUUCCACAGUAAGGAAAUAAAAAAGCGUCCAGAAUCAUUCGUAAAUGCACACGAACAGAGCAAGACUUGAGGGUGGGGGGUGAGCGUGACACUCUGGAGCUCCAGGGAGACCUUCAAGACCAGCGUCUGCGGCCUCCAGACGGGCCAACUCAGUCAGGCCCCGGCCAGCUGUGGGGGACAGUUACACGGCGUCUGUCACUGGACACGGAGAGUGACAAAGACAGACCCCAUACAGGGAGGGGUGUAAUUCAUAUUCGUACAGAACUUAAAACAGUAUUUAGCUCUUUCCUAAAGUCACUAUUUUAUCAAUUAUAUGGUAAAACUUUUUCCUCUUUUUUUCCCUUCAAUUAACGAUAGCUCUAAAUAUUUUCCAAAAAAAUCCCCACGAUAUACAAUUUUUUGUGGGAAUAAUAGGUAUUAGAAAGAGGUGGUAGAACUUGGAAGGGAUAGUGGGGCCCCUGUUGUUACUAGUUUGUGCUCCAGUCACAUUAGCAAAGGGAAGGCAAACAGAGGGCACAGCUAUACAUUAACACAAGAGAAUGAUGUUUCUAUUUUUAUUCAGUUAGCAACAUUCUUCAGAGCACGCACAAUUCAUCAAUCUUGGGGACAGUGUGGUAUAAAAGGGCUCUGACCAUUGAGUCAAGAGAGACCUACCUGUAAUUCUAGCUCUGGAAAUUGCCAGGUAUAUCACCAGAAGAAGGAAACUAAUUAGCUUCCUUGGGCCUGAGAUUCCUCACUUAUAAGAUGGGGGCUCACAGAAGGAUUAUAAAUGAGAAAGCGCCCAUGAGGUGCUCACAGGUGCUCAGCGCAGUGCAGGGGCCCAGGAAACGUCACUGCCCCCCCACUCCCCAUACAUGUACUUAAUGCCAUUUCUAAACUCUUCUUUUUUAGGAAAACCUUUACAGAUUUGUUAGAGUGCACACAUAAACACCCACUAAACAGAAUAUUUCAGUACAUGUAUGUGCAGAAAAGGGUUAACAGAGGAGGCCUGAGACUGCAGUCCUUGGAAAGGCCUGCUUGCAAGCUUGGUCCUUGGCUGGUGUCUGGGAAUUUAGAUUUGGGGCAGUUCCCCUCAUUCACUGAAUGACAAAGUGGCUCCCUGUGCCUAAAUGGUUUUUGCAAACAAUAUGGUUUAUGCUGUAUACCUGCUUUUGCCCACUGGGAGUCUGGAAUUUUGGGGUGUGCCAGGCAGAGGGUGUCUACAUGAUCAGCUCCCAAUAAAAGCCUUGAGCGCCGAGUCUCUAAGGAGCUUCUCUGGUUGACAUUUCCCACAUGCUGUCACGAUUUGUUGCUGGAGGAAUUAAGCGUGUCCUGUUCAACUCCACUGGGACAGGAUUCUUGGAAGCUUGUGCCUGGUUUCCUCAGGACUUUGCCCAUGCAGCUUUUCCCUUUCCUGAUUUUGCUUUCUAUCCUUUCAUUGCAAUAAAUCACAGACGAGUAUGACGAUAUGCUGAGGUCUCUGCAUCCUCCUGGCAAACUGCAGAACCUGGGGGUGGCCUGGGGACCUCCAGCACAAGUCUUGAAAUCUUUUUUUCAAUGCACUGACACAAAAUGUAUAACAUUACUUUUCCUACCAAUAAAUACUCAUCUACUGUAUCAUUUUUAUUGUUGUAUGGAAGACUAUUAUUGGAUACUGAAG
Choloepus didactylus (southern two-toed sloth) is the source of this 6001-nucleotide RNA transcript. It is a transcript of the gene named nudE neurodevelopment protein 1 like 1, with no coding region annotated. The record is from RefSeq and is a predicted model, not a curated record. NCBI's taxonomy places the organism in Eukaryota, Metazoa, Chordata, Mammalia, Pilosa, Megalonychidae. The transcript has 13 exons.